GCAGUGGUGGUUCAGUUGAUAGAAUUCUUGCCUGCCAUGCAGGAGGCGUGGGUUCGAUUCCCAGCUAAAGUA
RNAcentral lists this transfer RNA (72 nucleotides) under Loxodonta africana (African savanna elephant). It matches the Rfam family "tRNA". From Rfam's summary of the family: Transfer RNA (tRNA) molecules are approximately 80 nucleotides in length. Their secondary structure includes four short double-helical elements and three loops (D, anti-codon, and T loops). Lineage: Eukaryota; Metazoa; Chordata; Mammalia; Proboscidea; Elephantidae. The record is from Rfam by way of RNAcentral.